GACGAACGCUGGCGGCGUGCUUAACACAUGCAAGUCGAACGGAAAGGCCCUGCUUUUGUGGGGUGCUCGAGUGGCGACCUGGUGAGUAACACUUGAGUAACCUGCCCUUGACUUUGGGAUAACUUCAGGAAACUUGGGCUAAUACCGGAUAGGAGCUCCUGCUUCUUGGUGGGGGUUGGAAAGUUUCGGCGGUUGGGGAUGGACUCGCGGCUUAUCAGCUUGUUGGUGGGGUAGUGGAUUGCCAAGGCUUUGACGGGUAGACGGCCUGAGAGGGUGACCGGCCAAAUUGGGACUGAGAUAAGGCCCAGACUCAUCCGGGAGGCAGAAGUGGGGAAGAUUGCACAAUGGGAGGAAGCAUGAUGUAGCAACGCCGCGUGCGGGAUGACGGCCUUCGGGUUGUAAACCGAUUUCGCCUGUGACGAAGCGUGAGUGACGGUAAUGGGUAAAGAAGCACCGGCUAACUACGUG
RNAcentral lists this ribosomal RNA (468 nucleotides) under uncultured bacterium. RNAcentral describes it as "partial 16S ribosomal RNA". It matches the Rfam family "Bacterial small subunit ribosomal RNA", at positions 28 to 507 of the family's 1533-position model. The record is from RNAcentral.